UGGGGAAUAUUGGACAAUGGGCGCAAGCCUGAUCCAGCAAUGCCGCGUGUGUGAAGAAGGCCUUCGGGUUGUAAAGCACUUUUAUCAGGAGCGAAACGCUGUCGGCUAAUACCCGGCGGAACUGACGGUACCUGAGGAAUAAGCACCGGCUAACUUCGUGCCAGCAGCCGCGGUAAUACGAAGGGUGCAAGCGUUAAUCGGAAUUACUGGGCGUAAAGCGUGCGUAGGCGGUUUCUUAAGUCUGCUGUGAAAUCCCCGGGCUCAACCUGGGAAUGGCAGUGGAUACUGGGAGGCUAGAGUGUGUCAGAGGGUGGUGGAAUUCCCGGUGUAGCGGUGAAAUGCGUAGAGAUCGGGAGGAACAUCAGUGGCGAAGGCGGCCACCUGGGACAACACUGACGCUGAGGCACGAAAGCGUGGGGAGCAAACAGGAUUAGAUACCCUGGUAGUCCACGCCCUAAAACGAUGCGAACUGGAUGUUGGUCUCAACUCGGAGAUCAGUGUCGAAGCUAACGCGUUAAGUUCGCCGCCUGGGGGAGUACGGUCGCAAGACUGAAACUCAAAUGAAUUGACGGGGUCAUAGCUGUUUCCUG
RNAcentral lists this ribosomal RNA (590 nucleotides) under uncultured bacterium. Its description in RNAcentral is "partial 16S ribosomal RNA". It matches the Rfam family "Bacterial small subunit ribosomal RNA", at positions 355 to 1376 of the family's 1533-position model. The record is from RNAcentral.